CUAAGUUCAGCGGGUAUUCCUACCUGAUCCGAGGUCAACCUUGGUUAAAGAUGGGGUCUUUAACGGCAGGAGCAAGCCACACUUCCCUAGCGAGAUAAUGAAUUACUACGCUCGGAGUUGUAGCGAGCCCGCCACUUUCUUUCAGGGCCUACGUCAGACGUAGAGCCCCAACACCAAGCAGAGCUUGAGGGUUGAAAUGA
Molecule: unclassified non-coding RNA, 200 nt
Filed under: Kabatiella sp.
Lineage: Eukaryota; Fungi; Ascomycota; Dothideomycetes; Dothideales; Saccotheciaceae
Description: partial internal transcribed spacer 2
Source: RNAcentral